CCUACGGGAGGCAGCAGUGAGGAAUAUUGGUCAAUGGACGAGAGUCUGAACCAGCCAAGUAGCGUGAAGGAUGACUGCCCUAUGGGUUGUAAACUUCUUUUAUACGGGAAUAAAGAGCGGUAUGCAUACCGCGUUGCAUGUACCGUAUGAAUAAGGAUCGGCUAACUCCGUGCCAGCAGC
RNAcentral lists this ribosomal RNA (180 nucleotides) under uncultured bacterium. Its description in RNAcentral is "partial 16S ribosomal RNA". It matches the Rfam family "Bacterial small subunit ribosomal RNA", at positions 338 to 515 of the family's 1533-position model. The record is from RNAcentral.